UUGAUGUAGAUUCUCCUGUUGCUCACUGC
This 29-nucleotide non-coding RNA is filed under the name Mus musculus (house mouse). Lineage: Eukaryota; Metazoa; Chordata; Mammalia; Rodentia; Muridae. The record is from RNAcentral. RNAcentral also lists the same sequence under 1 other name.